Molecule: unclassified non-coding RNA, 217 nt
Filed under: Hevea brasiliensis (rubber tree)
Lineage: Eukaryota; Viridiplantae; Streptophyta; Magnoliopsida; Malpighiales; Euphorbiaceae
Source: RNAcentral
AGCAAAUUAACCUCGGUAUGAAUUUGCUACUUUUUAUUUUUUUGGUGAGAGUUUAAAGGUUUUCGAUUGGUAACUAUACAAUUGUGUUCAUUUGAUUUGUACGGUGAUGUUUCUCUGAUCAUUGAUUGAUACGAGAGUGGAAUUUAGCAGCCUUGAAUUCUUAUAAGGCUCCCUUUGGCAUCAGGGAUUUGGGAUAAUUAUCUGUUUUUGGUUUAAA